RNAcentral lists this transfer RNA (76 nucleotides) under Candidatus Berkelbacteria bacterium CG_4_10_14_0_8_um_filter_42_34. Its description in RNAcentral is "tRNA-Glu". It matches the Rfam family "tRNA". Rfam says of the family: Transfer RNA (tRNA) molecules are approximately 80 nucleotides in length. Their secondary structure includes four short double-helical elements and three loops (D, anti-codon, and T loops). Lineage: Bacteria; Candidatus Berkelbacteria. The record is from RNAcentral. RNAcentral also lists the same sequence under 1 other name.
GGCCCUGUCGUCUAGCGGUUAGGAUACCUGGUUUUCAUCCAGGAGAUCGCGGGUUCGAUUCCCGCCGGGGCUGCCA